This 3243-nucleotide ribosomal RNA is filed under the name Triticum aestivum (bread wheat). RNAcentral describes it as "partial small subunit ribosomal RNA". Lineage: Eukaryota; Viridiplantae; Streptophyta; Magnoliopsida; Poales; Poaceae. The record is from RNAcentral.
AUGCGCCAGCGGAGGUCACCCCCACAGCACCGCGUUUUCGCAGUCUCCCCCCCUCGGAAACGUCUGCCCGCUCGCUCGCUCGCUUACCCAGCAAGCUUUCCCCACCUUCCCCCGCCCCGUCCCCUCUCCUCCUGGCGGUGGCGACGCGAUCACGACACGGAGACUCGUAGCCCCUUGCUGAGCCGGGGGUUGCGAGUCGCGGAGAUGAAGAACCUGUUCAAGAGCAAGAUCAAGUGGCAGCACCGGUCCAACGACCCCGCCUCCUCGUCGCAGCCGCAGUCGUCGUCGACCUCGCCGGCGAGCUCCCCGUCGGGUACGGCGCCGGCGCCCGCGCUGUCCUCCGCCGCGGCGAUGCCGACGGCCUCCGCCCCGCCCCCUUCCGCCCCGGUGGCGACGACGCCCACGGCGGGGGUUGGUGGGGGAGGGGGAGGCGGAGCGGGUGGGGACGACUACAUGUACUCGGAGGAGGAGUUCCAGAUGCAGCUGGCCAUGGCGCUGUCGGCGUCCAACAGCGACUGCGCGGGGGACCGGGACAGGGACCAGAUCAGGGACGCCAAGCUCAUGAGCCUCGGCGGGGGGGACCGCUUCGCCGCCGGCCGGGACGACGGCCACACCGCCGACUCUCUCUCCCGCCGCUACUGGGACUACAACUGCCUCGAUUAUCAUGAGAAAGUUGUCGAUGGUUUCUACGACAUAUUUGACCCCUCCAUGGAGUCCUCUAGGCAGGGGAAGAUGCCAUCACUAGAAGACCUUCAAACAGGCAUCGGGGACCUGGGCUUUGAGGUCAUCGUAAUCAACCGUGCAGUUGAUACUGCCUUGCAGGAGAUGGAGCAAGUGGCGCAAUGCAUCUUGUUGGAUUUCCCUGUUGCAAAUAUUACACUCCUAGUACAAAGGAUAGCUGAUCUUGUUACAGAUAAUCUAGGUGGACCUGUGAAAGAUGCAAAUGCUAUGCUUGCAAGGUGGUCGGAGACAAGUACUCAGCUGAGAACCUCACUACAUACUAGCUUGCUGCCAAUUGGCUGCAUUAAAUUAGGGUUGUCUCGUCACCGUGCCCUACUUUUCAAGAUUCUUGCUGAUAGUGUUGGCAUUCCAUGCAAACUUGUCAAAGGGAGUAAUUACACUGGUGAUGAGGAUGAUGCUGUUAACAUAAUAAAGGUGGACAAAGAAAGGGAGUUUUUGGUAGAUCUGAUGGCUGCUCCUGGUGCUCUUAUUCCAGCAGAUGUCUUAAGUUGGAAGGGCAGUUCGUCAAAUUCUAACCAUAAACUUGGCCAGAAACCUGGACUGAAUCAAAUGGCUGGGUCAUCAAGUACCAUUUAUCCUACUCUGGGUGCCAAUGCAUUGCCACUUGAACAUAAAGGUAACCAACUACCUUUGUUAAACAGUGGUGAUUGGAUAUCGGCCAGUCAAUCUGGAUACGAGAAAGAGGCGGCCAUAACACACUCACAAACCUCUUCCAGUGGUACACCAUCUGUUACUGCUGCAGAUGUUUUUGAUGGUUCUUGGACAUUAGUUCCUCAUACGCAAUCGGACGAGCCGUCGACUUCUGCUGGUACAUCGUCACAGCAUAAAGUUGUACCCCCAGGUGGAGAACAUCCUGGGGCCGGGAAUAUAAAACUAAGCCCAGGUCACCAGGAAAAUACAGAGUCCAGUAACCUAUUUGCUGAGCUUAAUCCUUUUGGGCGUAUUGAGCCAAAGAAAGCUUCAGUACCAUUCAAUGGGCCAGAUAAUAGAAACAACGAGUUACAAAGGCGUAGAGAAAAUGUAGUCCCUAGCACUGGAAGGCCACAGCAAAGAUUGGUUAUGAAAAACUGGUCCCCUUACAAUGAUGUUUCCAACAACAAGCAGUACAACUAUGUUCAGGACUCAUUUGCACGUAGAAAUGUUGGUGAUAAUGUUGUAUCAUCGCCGCAGGUGCCACGAUCUGCUGCAAAUAAUAUUAAUCUUAAUAUUGGAGCACGCAAUGAUGGAUCACCAGUGUCAGCUCACAAUAAUGACAGUUUUAUGGCUGGUUCCUCUGCCAUGAAGAUGCCUUCUGUAGCUGAUAUUGGGAAGGCCGCUGAAAUGGCUAUGCGUGGUGAUUUGAGCAAAGGUACUACAGGUUCUAGACUGGAGGAUCAACCACCAUUUGGAAGACACAAAUGGGGUGAUUCUACUGAACGAAGGGUUCCGACUAAUUCAGUUCAGAACCAAGCAAAAGAACGUGAAACUAACUUCGACGGAAAGCAAGACCAUAAGAAGUUGCCUCCUGAUCCAAAGAAAUCUCCACUUGACAGAUUCAUGGACGUGUCGAUGCCAUCAAGAAAUUCAGAAUCUGUUUCACCAUCCUCUGCCAGGUCACACAGGCUUGAUUGCGUGUUCGAUGAUGUUUCUGAGUGUGAAAUUCUCUGGGAAGAUCUUGUGAUUGGUGAACGGAUUGGCUUAGGUUCAUAUGGUGAGGUAUACCGUGCUGAUUGGAAUGGAACAGAAGUAGCUGUGAAGAAAUUCUUGGAUCAAGAUUUCUAUGGCGAUGCUUUGGAUGAAUUUCGAAGUGAAGUGCGGAUUAUGCGUCGACUGCGUCAUCCAAAUAUCGUUCUCUUUAUGGGUGCUGUUACACGCCCUCCAAACUUAUCUAUUGUAUCUGAGUAUCUUCCAAGGGGAAGUUUAUAUAAGAUCCUUCACCGUCCUGGCUGCCAAAUUGACGAGAAGCGGAGGAUUAAGAUGGCCAUUGAUGUGGCCAAGGGCAUGAAUUGCCUGCACACUAGUGUACCAACAAUUGUUCACCGGGAUCUUAAAUCACCUAACUUGCUGGUCGACAAUAAUUGGAAUGUCAAGGUUUGUGAUUUUGGUCUUUCACGCUUGAAGCACAGCACAUUUUUAUCAUCCAAAUCAACUGCUGGAACUCCUGAGUGGAUGGCACCUGAGGUCUUGCGGAAUGAGCAGUCAAAUGAAAAGUGCGAUGUCUACAGCUUUGGCGUCAUCUUGUGGGAGCUGGCAACACUAAGAAUGCCGUGGGGUGGGAUGAACCCGAUGCAAGUCGUGGGAGCGGUUGGCUUCCAGGAUCGAAGGCUUGAUAUCCCCAAGGAAAUUGAUCCUCUAGUCGCUAGGAUCAUAUGGGAGUGCUGGCAGAAGGAUCCGAAUCUGCGCCCUUCGUUUGCGCAGUUAACAACUGCUCUGAAGACGGUACAAAGGCUUGUCAGCCCUUCUCCGGAGACGCAGAGCCCCCCUGUGCCCCAAGAGAUCUGGGUGAACUCCUCUACCCCAUGA